This 550-nucleotide ribosomal RNA is filed under the name uncultured bacterium. RNAcentral describes it as "bacterial SSU rRNA". It matches the Rfam family "Bacterial small subunit ribosomal RNA", at positions 355 to 896 of the family's 1533-position model. The record is from RNAcentral.
UAGGGAAUCUUCGGCAAUGGGGGGAACCCUUGACCGAGCAACGCCGCGUGAGUGAAGAAGGUUUUCGGAUCGUAAAGCUCUGUUGUUAAGGAAGAACGAGUGUGAGAAUGGAAAGUUCAUACUGUGACGGUACUUAACCAGAAAGGGACGGCUAACUACGUGCCAGCAGCCGCGGUAAUACGUAGGUCCCGAGCGUUGUCCGGAUUUAUUGGGCGUAAAGCGAGCGCAGGCGGUUAGAAAAGUCUGAAGUGAAAGGCAGUGGCUCAACCAUUGUAGGCUUUGGAAACUGUUUAACUUGAGUGCAGAAGGGGAGAGUGGAAUUCCAUGUGUAGCGGUGAAAUGCGUAGAUAUAUGGAGGAACACCGGUGGCGAAAGCGGCUCUCUGGCUUGUAACUGACGCUGAGGCUCGAAAGCGUGGGGAGCAAACAGGAUUAGAUACCCUGGUAGUCCACGCCGUAAACGAUGAGUGCUAGGUGUUAGACCCUUUCCGGGGUUUAGUGCCGCAGCUAACGCAUUAAGCACUCCGCCUGGGGAGUACGACCGCANGUUG